This 433-nucleotide ribosomal RNA is filed under the name Cardinium endosymbiont of Heterodera latipons. RNAcentral describes it as "bacterial SSU rRNA". It matches the Rfam family "Bacterial small subunit ribosomal RNA", at positions 293 to 723 of the family's 1533-position model. The record is from RNAcentral. Lineage: Bacteria; Pseudomonadati; Bacteroidota; Cytophagia; Cytophagales; Amoebophilaceae.
UUAGUGGAAGGUCCCCCACACUGGCACUGAGAUACGGGCCAGACUCCUACGGGAGGCAGCAGUAGGGAAUAUUGGUCAAUGGGCGCAAGCCUGAACCAGCCAUGCCGCGUGCAGGACGAAGGCUUUCUGAGUUGUAAACUGCUUUUGUACAGGAACAAAAAAGCCUCUGCGGAGGUUCUUGAGCGUACUGUAAGAAUAAGCACCGGCUAAUUCCGUGCCAGCAGCCGCGGUAAGACGGAAGGUGCAAGCGUUAUCCGGUUUUAUUGGGUUUAAAGGGUGCGUAGGCGGUUUAUUAAGUCAGUUGUGAAAUCUUAGUGCUUAACGCUAAAACUGCAAUUGAUACUGGUAGACUUGAGUUAAGAAGAGGUAAGUAGAAUUUAUGGUGUAGUAGUGAAAUGCUUAGAUAUCAUAAGGAAUACCAAUGGCGUAGGCA